GUUUGGCAAUUGUACUUGUGUAAUUCUUUUUCUGUAGUAGUAUUUUGGUUCUACUGUCCAUUGUGUUCAGGAUAAAAACCAAGAUCUCUCUGAGGCUGUUGUUUUGGAUGAUUAACUUCAUAAUUAACAAAAUACAUACUUGACCAGUACUACACCGUUAUCAGAUUUUACUCCCAAUGAAAUAAAUCAUUUUCUUAGUCAGUGUUUAAAAGUAGUUACACAUGCAGUUUACAUUUGAUGAUAACACAAACCUUAAUGUUAGCUCUUUAAAACGAUUGAAAUAAGUAUGCAGACUCCUUGCUCAUUUCUUAAAAAAAGCUCAAAUGUGUUUAUAACUUUAGGAAAGGAGUUCAAUGUGACCUUUACUUUCUGUUAGAAGGUGUAAGUUAAGUUCUACCACAAAUGAAGCUUCAGGAGAUUAUCACUGAGUUAGUGUCAUUAUUUUACAGGUAUUCUGGAAUUAUUAUUUUACCAUAUUCAUUUUUGUUUCUAACUCCUACCUUUAUCUGAGCAAUAAAAUUUUUAUCCCAACUUUGUUUCUUUUUUUCUUUUGCCAUUUGAAAUAGUACACCUAAGAACUACUAGCUCUUGGACAUGUUCUUCAAUAUAACCCUCUGCGAGUUCACCCGACAGGCCUUUUGUAUUGAUUAUCUGACAUGGAACUAUUUAGUAGCCACAUCAUGUAUUUUCACAUUGACGUAUGAUAAAAAGUUCAUGACACAUGAUUCUUUGUCAUGAACUUUUUGCUUUUGACAUCAAAUUCUUUUUCACCUUCAUUAUCAAGUUAAAAGAAAAUAUUCGUUCUCAUCAUUCAACAAUCUUUUCCUUCACUUGAAAUUUGUUAAAUGUUGCAGGGAAUUUUAAGAGACCUUUCUAAAGUUCCAGCUCCGGGAGCUCAAGACCAAGCUGCAAAAUCUGGCGAACAGAGCAAUGGUGAACCUAGUGGCUCGGAUGCCAUGGCUACUGCUGCUGCUAUGAUCACUCCAAGCGGCGAAAGCACAUUGGUGACUGCUGAACGGUGAGGGAGAACUUCUUUGCAGUUAUUGUGGUGGCAACUAAUGUUGAAUUGAGAUGAAUAAUUGAGAUUCAUCCGUUGUACCAUCCGCCAAAAUUAGAAUGUACAUAGUAAAAUAUUGUACUCUUAGGCAUCCGACAUUGUUUUUUAAGAGUUUUAGCGUUUUAUUCUGGUGUUCAAAUGUAAUUGAAAUCUGGAAAUUGUGUUACAAAUCGAUACACCCUUGGGUUUAUGACUACAAAUGUUGCAGAUCA
This is an RNA transcript of Capsicum annuum, 1269 nucleotides long. RefSeq lists it as uncharacterized. Lineage: Eukaryota; Viridiplantae; Streptophyta; Magnoliopsida; Solanales; Solanaceae. The record is from RefSeq and is a predicted model, not a curated record. The transcript is spliced from 2 exons.